This 69-nucleotide transfer RNA is filed under the name Tapinoma melanocephalum. RNAcentral's name for it is "tRNA-Pro". The record is from RNAcentral. Lineage: Eukaryota; Metazoa; Arthropoda; Insecta; Hymenoptera; Formicidae.
CAAAAAAUAGUUUAAUUUAGAAUAUUAAUUUUGGGGAUUAAUGGUAUAUAAGAUAGAUUAUUUUUUUGA